UACGUAGGUGGCAAGCGUUGUCCGGAUUUAUUGGGUUUAAAGGGUGCGUAGGCGGUCUUUUAAGUCAGUGCUGAAAUAUCCCGGCUUAACCGGGGAGGGUGGCAUUGAUACUGAAGGACUUGAGUACAGUCGAGGUAGGCGGAAUUGACGGUGUAGCGGUGAAAUGCUUAGAUAUCGUCAAGAACACCGAUAGUGUAGACAGCUUACUAGGCUGAAACUGACGCUGAGGCACGAAAGUGUGGGGAUCAAACAGG
This 254-nucleotide ribosomal RNA is filed under the name uncultured bacterium. RNAcentral's name for it is "partial 16S ribosomal RNA". It matches the Rfam family "Bacterial small subunit ribosomal RNA", at positions 524 to 776 of the family's 1533-position model. The record is from RNAcentral.